RNAcentral lists this ribosomal RNA (508 nucleotides) under uncultured bacterium. RNAcentral describes it as "bacterial SSU rRNA". It matches the Rfam family "Bacterial small subunit ribosomal RNA", at positions 32 to 515 of the family's 1533-position model. The record is from RNAcentral.
AAUCAACGCUGGCGGCGUGCCUCAGACAUGCAAGUCGAACGCGAAAGCUCCCUUCGGGGAGCAAGUAGAGUGGCGCACGGGUGAGUAACACGUAGGUAAUCUACCUUUGGAUGGGGAAUAACAACCGGAAACGGUUGCUAAUACCGCAUAAUGCAGCGGCACCUAAUGGUGACAGUUGUUAAAGCGGGGGAUCGCAAGACCUCGCGUCUGUAGAGGAGCCUGCGGCGGAUUAGCUAGUUGGUAAGGUAACGGCUUACCAAGGCGAUGAUCCGUAGCCGGCCUGAGAGGGCGGUCGGCCACACUGACACUGACAUACGGGUCAGACUCCUACGGGAGGCAGCAGUCGGGAAUUUUGGGCAAUGGGCGAAAGCCUGACCCAGCAACGCCGCGUGAAGGAUGAAAUCCCUCGGGAUGUAAACUUCGCAAGAACGGGAAGAAUAAGUAAGAGCUAACAUCUCUUACGAUGACGGUACUGUUUGUAAGCUCCGGCUAACUCCGUGCCAGCACG